Molecule: long non-coding RNA, 1445 nt
Organism: Zalophus californianus (California sea lion)
Lineage: Eukaryota; Metazoa; Chordata; Mammalia; Carnivora; Otariidae
Exons: 6
Source: RefSeq, a predicted model, not a curated record
CAAGAUGGAUCACGGAUGAACGUACCAUACAAAACAUUGAAUAAUGGCAUUCACACUUUUGAAGUUGUCAUGUCUAACUGCCUUUUUUCAAGUAAUAAAAGGAUCACAAAGCUCUGAUGAAUGAGCUGCUCGGACACUUUGAGAUAUUUUAAGAUUGUUCAGCAAGGAUAUAACAGGUGCAAGGAUUUUGACUUAUAUCCUUCACUAAUUCAACAAAUAUUGACUGAGCACUCAGUCUAUGCCAGGCGCUAUUCUGGGAUUUGAGAAGAAAGUAUUGAAUAAGAAAGGUCUCUCUUGGGAAGAGCUUGGAGAGAUGUCCUGCGCGAGGCCAGGCGUGAGGAGACAGCGCCAGAAACAUAAUUAGAUCAAUGCUUUAAGUGAAAACCCGCGCGCCACUUCAGUCCGCCUCGAAUCAGUGUCAGCGUAAAGAGGGAUUGGGAAGUACGAUUCCGCUAAGAAAAGAAGCCAGUGGCCAUAGUAGGAGGAUACUGAAGCAGCCCUCUGUGGAGCCCAUGUGGUGAGGCACUGAGGCCACCUGCCAACAGCCAUGUGAGUGAGCUGUCUGGAAAUGGAUACGGUGGCUCUCAGUCAGACCAUCGGAUGAGCGCGACCCCAGAUGCCCUCCUGACUGCGACUUCAUGGCAAAUUCUGAGCCAGAGCCACCCGAAUAAGCUGCUUGUGAUAGCCUGACCUGCAGAAACAUGCUACACUUGUGAUUUAAGCUCAGGGAUGUGAAAUUCAAGUUUGGAGAAAUAGAAGACUAUGAAAGUUGAUAAUUCUUGAUAGGAAGACCCACGAUCUAACAAAGACAAAAACAAAACAAAACUGAAGACUGUGGCAGGAUGAAUAAUGGCCCUUCAAAAAUGUCCACGUCCUAAUCCUGGAACCUGUCUUGUAUGGCAAAAGGAACUUUGCAGAUGUGAUUAAGUUAAGGUUCUCAAAAUGGAGCAUUCUGGUGGCCCAAUGUAACCACAAGAGUUGUUAUAAGAACGAGCCAGGAGGGUUGGAGUCAGAGACAAGGCCAUGCAAUGAUGGAAACAGAGGUAAAAAGGGUGAUGUGAUGUAGGACAAAGAUCCAAGGAAUGUGGACAGCCUCUAGAAACUGGAAAUGGCAAGGAAUUGAUUGUUCCCGAGUGUCCAGAAGGAAUGCAGCCCUGCAAACACCCUAAAUUUUAGCCCAGUGAGACUGAUUUUGGCUUCUGAUCUAUAGAAGUAUAUGAUAAGAAAUUUGUGUUGAUUUAAACCACCAUAGUUAGUGGUAAUUUCAUGUAGCAGCAAUAGUCCCCAAAUAUGUGACUGUAUUAAUGUGUAGUGAAUGAUAUCAUCCCCCAAAUAAUAAAACAAUAUCAGACCUAGAAGAUUUUGUAUCAUUUUAAAGAGUCCACGUCUUUGUUAUUAGGGAAAUAGCUAAACUGUAUUAAACACGUCUUUUUUUUCCCCCGUAU